This is a long non-coding RNA of Drosophila biarmipes, 878 nucleotides long. RefSeq lists it as uncharacterized. The transcript is spliced from 6 exons. The record is from RefSeq and is a predicted model, not a curated record. Lineage: Eukaryota; Metazoa; Arthropoda; Insecta; Diptera; Drosophilidae.
UAUUGUAGGUUUUAGUACUCAUCUCACCUUCCCGUCUCUGACAGGCAUUCCGAUCCAUUUCGCAGGGAUUCCUAAACGCCACUAUUACAACCAGCAGGAUCCACUUCAUUAUAAGACGCGUGCUAUAAAAACUGUCCCCAGCUGCUGCUUUGAUUUAGUUUUAUAUGUGAUCGGAUUUAGGCCAGCCAAUGAACUCGAUUCGAAAACAUAUUGUCAGGCCGAAACAAAGGAUUCGCUCCCAUAAGCCGAUCUAUAUUCUUUUGCACGUGUAACUACGCCGUUUCCAUUAAAUGUGUGUGCUCACAAACAUGACGAUCCAUCGAAAAUAAUAGGCAUACUGGUUCAGAUGACAGCGGCUUAGGAAGGUCAUUUGUCGAUCUCCAUUAACUCCGUUGCUGUCCACAUAUGAAAAAGAGGCACAGACUUGUGGCCCACCUGAAGGACAGUGACCUGGGCAAUAGGUCAUGCAUUGAUCUUGAGAAGUUAAAAGCAAAGCUGGCAGAAAAUAUAUUUUAUUUCAGGGAUCCUAAAAGACACGAGUUCUGGAAAACACGGCAAGUCCCUUCCGAAAUAGUCCAUAUAAUAUUCCUGCCAUAGGGAUUACAUCGAAACUAAAUCCACAAAACAGAGUCCCGAGAACUGAAAGCUUGAAAACAUUCAUUAUUAUAAUAAGUGAUCAUCAGACAUAUUGCGAUUAUAUAGCCUCAGACAACUUUCAGCUGCGCAAUAAGUUUUCGGAUAAACAGCGUCCAAUGCGUGGCUCGUUUACAUAAGCUGAAAAUAUAAUAUUUUAUUAAAAUUCAAUGAGUGAAACUGGAAAACUAGGAUAGACCCACCUUGAGCGUUACGACAGGCAAAGCUAUCCAGUGAGCAGCGAC